AAACAAUAUGGAGUCGACUUAAUAGGCAAACUACAAUAAUUGUAUUAAUUUUAGAUCAAAAUAAUUUAGUAUAAAUAGUAAUAAAAUUAAUUAUAAAUUAUUUUAGAACUAUUCUAAAUAUACUCAUGAUUCUAGAUUUUAUUUGUAAAAAUUAGAUGCAACUACUUUUCAUAUAAUGUAUCAUAUACACAAUCUUAAGAUUUUGAGAAAAGUAAAGUUUUUUUUCGCAUUCAUCUUCAUGAGAUAUAGUCAAAUGGUACUCCUACACAUCAUAAGAGGAUCCAAUUGAAUAAAAAAAGAGAGAUCUAAUAUCUAUUACCUCUU
This 324-nucleotide long non-coding RNA is filed under the name Elaeis guineensis (African oil palm). RNAcentral describes it as "long non-coding RNA (EGUI_LNC057820)". Lineage: Eukaryota; Viridiplantae; Streptophyta; Magnoliopsida; Arecales; Arecaceae. The record is from RNAcentral.